Ruminococcus callidus ATCC 27760 is the source of this 101-nucleotide non-coding RNA. The record is from Rfam. NCBI's taxonomy places the organism in Bacteria, Bacillati, Bacillota, Clostridia, Eubacteriales, Oscillospiraceae.
ACCUUAUCAAGAGUGGUGGAGGAACAGGUCCUGUGAAGCCCGGCAACCAAUCGCUGAUGCGAUACGGUGCCAAUUCCUGCGGUAUAACCGAGAGAUGAGGG